CGUAUCAAGGAGCGUUGCGACAGAGUCCCAUUCUGCCAGGCUUGAUACAGUCAACAAUGCAACCGCGCUCACGUUAC
RNAcentral lists this non-coding RNA (77 nucleotides) under Burkholderiales bacterium. RNAcentral's name for it is "SAH sequence". It matches the Rfam family "SAH (S-adenosyl-L-homocysteine) riboswitch aptamer". Lineage: Bacteria; Pseudomonadati; Pseudomonadota; Betaproteobacteria; Burkholderiales. The record is from RNAcentral.